AAAAAACAGAUAUUUGAUCAUCCAAAGACAAAGCCAGAAGACGAGAACAAUAAUUAUUUGGAUCAGGGUAGUUCGCGGGAGGUUGUGAUCAUUUAUAUUUUCAGAAGUCUGCCCUUCAUCUGUCUGCUGGUGGCGUUCUUUUACCUAAACAGGGACGACAAACGAGUCACAACAUCAAGAUCAGCAGUUGAGCAUGCUGUAAAGGUGGGAGAAGGACUAGACGAAGACCUGGAGGCCGGAGAGAUACGGAGAAAUGAAACUGAAGAGGCGAAACAGAGUGAAAAAGUUUCAGAACAGGAGAAAGAUAGAGUCAACAAUGAGAAACCUAAAGUUACUGCUGUAACAGAAGAAGAAAAAGAUGAAGAAAAGCAGACUGUGGUAAUUGUGAACACUGAACAAGGUACAUCUCCAAUGCAUGACAAUGAAAACAAGACUGUUUCUGUUCUGAACACUGAUGAAAAGGCACAUGUAAUGGCUGGCACUGAAGAAGGGACUGUUUCGGUAAUGGGCGACUUAGUUUCAGCUCUGUGAGACACAGGAUAUAGUGUCAUGGGUGUGGUUUUCAGGUCUGUGAUGUCACUUCCUGCAUGAUAUGCUUGUUUGCAGAAUCAUAAUGGUUUGCAGUGACUGUCACUGAAUUCUGAAAGUCAAUGAAAUAAAAUGUCUUGUGCAUGCCUGAAGCUUUCUGUUUGAUUGUGUGUUUUGUAGGAUUGUGUGUAUGGUCGUGUUCAGUUUGUCUGGGGUGAAUCGAGUGCAAGAUCAGUGUUGUGGUUUACUUGGGCUUCGCUGUGAUAAAAUUAGUUGCGUGGGGAGGGGGUAAAAAUCUGACAGUACGAGUGUCUCAGGCAUGUGAAAGAUUGUGAUGUGGGAGUGAAGCGGAUUCAGAUUCUCUGUAGACGCUCAGAAAUGAAGUGUUCCUCCAGACUCCUGUGUGGGCUCCUCAUGUCAUGCCUUUGUUUAAGAGUCACUGCUUUAAGUGAGGAGCUGUCUGUGACUCAGAGCCCGUCCAACAUCACUGUGAAUGAGGGAGAAUCUGCUAAAAUCACCUGCUGCUGGAAUGAAGGCAUGCAAAAUGCAAAAGUUUCUUGGUACAUCAAUGAGACAAAAUUUCAAGAACUAAAGCAGAAACUCCAAGAGCAAAGAAGAACAGAACUGUUCAAUUCUCAUCCUUACAAACAUACUUAAAAAUGAUGCAGGUCGUUAUGUUUGUGAAGUGAUUCAAGACAUACCAUUCCUCAAAACAGUGAAAACUAAUGGAACAACUCUAGAUGUCAGUGACAGUCAAAUAGAAAAGACAACAACUGUUUCUGACUCUUCUCAAACUGCUGAGACUACAACCAGUUCAUCCUCAGAGUCAGCUUCAUUUCCUAUCAUGCCUUUAUCCCUGGCUGCUUCCAUCGGCCUGCUGACCCUCUGCUUGGCCUUCAGUGUAUGCAAGAUGAGAAACUCCUGUAAAAAAUCAGAGCGAGUGGUCAUUCACCAAGGGCCACAAAGUGAGGGUGAGGAGCAUGAGAACAUGGAAGAGGAGGAUGGAAGCACAGACUCUUCUCGAGGAUCUCUCCAAUGGUAUCAAGUGCCUGUUUACUGGUCUUACUUUGAUCUACGGAGGGGUGAAGACCAAUGAAAACCAGAAAAGAAAGACGAACGUGAUGCACUGUUCACUGGAUAGCAUUUUGCAUUUUUUACAUUCGCAUUCUUUCGUGAGAGCAUCUUUGUAAAUAGCAGAAGCGAUUUUAACUGUAUCUUCUGUAUCUUCAGAUACAGUUGAAACCCUUUGAGCUCUUGAUGGUGGUAUCAGAUGUUAAUCUCUCUGUUUGUAGCAGCUUGAUAGUUUUAUGCAUUUUAAUUUUGUUGUUUUUUAUAUGUCUUUUUAAAAUAAAAGUGAACAUGUGUCAUACUGACAUGCAUGAUAAACUACUUCAAUUUCACACCCAGCCAGAUGCAAUUCAAACAUGUAUAAAAGUAGAAUACACUGCCUGCCCUUAAGUUUUUCUUUGUGUCUAAUCAUGAAAAGUUUUAUAGUAAAGAGGUUUAUACUGCACAGAUGUCGGCUAUGCCUUUCAGCCUUCUUAGAAAUGUUUCUAAGACUGACACUUUCUUACUGUGGUUUUUUGCCAUUUACAAUAAAGAUCUGUGAGAAUCA
Molecule: long non-coding RNA, 2143 nt
Organism: Labeo rohita (rohu)
Lineage: Eukaryota; Metazoa; Chordata; Actinopteri; Cypriniformes; Cyprinidae
Exons: 7
Source: RefSeq, a predicted model, not a curated record